CCCUUCGGGGCGAAGAUAAGACGGAUUAGCGGCGGACGGGUGAGUAACACGUGAGUAACCUGCCUUUUACACAGGGAUAGCCUCGGGAAACCGGGAUUAAAACCUGAUGAAACUAUCAAAUCACAUGAUUAAGAAAGUUAAAACUCCGGUGGUAAAAGAUGGACUCGCGUCCCAUUAGCUAGUUGGUGAAGGUAACGGCCCACCAAGGCAACGAUGGGUAGCCGGCCUGAGAGGGUGAACGGCCACAUUGGAACUGAGAAACGGUCCAAACUCCUCGGGAGGCAGCAGCC
Molecule: ribosomal RNA, 290 nt
Filed under: uncultured Peptoniphilus sp.
Lineage: Bacteria; Bacillati; Bacillota; Tissierellia; Tissierellales; Peptoniphilaceae
Description: partial 16S ribosomal RNA
Rfam family: Bacterial small subunit ribosomal RNA
Source: RNAcentral